CUACUCUUGACAUCCAGAGAACUUUCCAGAGAUGGAUUGGUGCCUUCGGGAACUCUGAGACAGGUGCUGCAUGGCUGUCGUCAGCUCGUGUUGUGAAAUGUUGGGUUAAGUCCCGCAACGAGCGCAACCCUUAUCCUUUGUUGCCAGCGGUCCGGCCGGGAACUCAAAGGAGACUGCCAGUGAUAAACUGGAGGAAGGUGGGGAUGACGUCAAGUCAUCAUGGCCCUUACGAGUAGGGCUACACACGUGCUACAAUGGCGCAUACAAAGAGAAGCGACCUCGCGAGAGCAAGCGGACCUCAUAAAGUGCGUCGUAGUCCGGAUUGGAGUCUGCAACUCGACUCCCC
This 346-nucleotide ribosomal RNA is filed under the name uncultured bacterium. Its description in RNAcentral is "bacterial SSU rRNA". It matches the Rfam family "Bacterial small subunit ribosomal RNA", at positions 975 to 1321 of the family's 1533-position model. The record is from RNAcentral.